RNAcentral lists this ribosomal RNA (403 nucleotides) under uncultured bacterium. RNAcentral's name for it is "partial 16S ribosomal RNA". It matches the Rfam family "Bacterial small subunit ribosomal RNA", at positions 30 to 526 of the family's 1533-position model. The record is from RNAcentral.
AUUGAACGCUGGCGGCAGGCCUAACACAUGCAAGUCGAGCGCGCGGCGGACGGGUGAGUAAUGUAUGGGGACUGCCCGCUAGAGGGGGAUAACUACUGGAAACGGUGGCUAAUACCGCAUACUAUCGGAUAACCCAUAUGGGAUUAGCUAGUAGGUGGGGUAAAGGCUCACCUAGGCCACGAUCUCUAGCUGGUCGGAAAGGAUGAUAAGCAACACUGUGACUGAGACACGGCCCAGACUCCUACGGAGGCAGCAGUGGGGAAUAUUGCACAAUGGGCGCAAGCCGGACGCGGACAUGCCGAGUGUAUGAAGAAGGCCUUAUGGUUGUAAAGUACUUUCAGCGGGGAGGAGUUACCCGAAGAAGAAGCACCGGCUAACUCCGUGCCAGCAGCCGCGGUAAUUC